Molecule: long non-coding RNA, 1075 nt
Organism: Bradysia coprophila
Lineage: Eukaryota; Metazoa; Arthropoda; Insecta; Diptera; Sciaridae
Source: RefSeq, a predicted model, not a curated record
GCUGAAACUCGGAAUCAGAUUUUCACAGUUUCUUUUUUAGUUCCACCUUUAAAUUGUAAUUUGUAUGCCUUACAAUUUCAGUCCUAUGACCAAAAUAAAAUCGAUUUGAACGAAAUUUAAUUGAAAUAAAGUGGGGACUACCUUAAUGUGAUGGGUGUUUGAGUAAUUUCAAGAAGAGAAGCAAUGUAAAUGUUAAGUUUAACGGGUGAAAAUAGGCUUAGAAACAUCAAAAAGAAUUGAAAUUACAGGAAGAUGCAUCGAAAUUUAAUAUUUAACAUUAUGAGCGAAUGAACACAAAAAAAAGUAAAACAAAAAUAUCUCACUAAGGAAUUCAUCUUAAGGGGUCGUCUAUAAAUGACGUCCACUCGCAACAUUGAGGGGUCUUUUUGCGUCCAUGCGUGCUUCAUGUCCUACCCGCCUCAGCCGUAGAACUUUCACCAUUGCCACAAAAUCCGGCUCGCCAAAAUCACGUUUCAAUUCAAAGUUGUAGUGUCGCAGCCACCUUUCGCCUUCACGAAAAUAGUACGAAGAACCUUAACGCUCGAACGUUAGGAGCAGCUGUUCAUCACUUCUCUUCACCGUCCAAGAUUCGCAUCCAUAGAUCAGAACUGGACGAAUGGGCGUUUUGUAAACUUGGCACUGUGUUUUCUUCGAUAUGUGAUUAGAUUACUUUCUUUUAGCUACACUAGGAUAGGAUAAUAUGGGCAGAAAAGCUGAUUUUUUGUUUUCUUAGGGACCUUCUACCAGUGGUAACUAACAGCAAAGACUAAUCAUUUACGAUUAGGAAAAACCCUAUGAACUAUGUCUGACGCGGGAGUCGAACCCGUGACAUAUAGGGCGCGAGUCCAUCGCUCUACCGAUUGAGCUACCUGGACGGUUACACUAAAUGUUAGAUCUAAUUAGAGAGAAUAGCAAGGAAAAAUACCAUAAAAUUCACGAAUUUAUUUACUUUGAUUUAUUUCAUCUCACACACAGACAUGUUUUGUUUUUACAUUGAUUUAUGACUCUCAGUUUAUUGUGUGAAAGCCAUUCUACUAUUUACAUUGAUUUGAAAAUAUAUUAAUUUUCCGCUAAA